GGGGCUGAUUCUGGAUUCGACGGGAUUUGCGAAACCCAAGGUGCAUGCCGAGGGGCGGUUGGCCUCGUAAAAAGCCGCAAAAAAUAGUCGCAACGACGAAAACUACGCUUUAGCAGCUUAAUAACCUGCUUAGAGCCCUCUCUCCCUAGCCUCCGCUCUUAGGACGGGGAUCAAGAGAGGUCAAACCCAAAAGAAUCGCGUGGAAGCCCUGCCUGGGGUUGAAGCGUUAAAACUUAAUCAGGCUAGUUUGUUAGUGGCGUGUCCGUCCGCAGCUGGCAAGCGAAUGUAAAGACUGACUAAGCAUGUAGUACCGAGGAUGUAGGAAUUUCGGACGCGGGUUCAACUCCCGCCAGCUCCACCA
Molecule: transfer-messenger RNA, 361 nt
Filed under: Escherichia coli
Lineage: Bacteria; Pseudomonadati; Pseudomonadota; Gammaproteobacteria; Enterobacterales; Enterobacteriaceae
Rfam family: transfer-messenger RNA
About the family: Bacterial tmRNA, also known as 10Sa RNA or SsrA, is named for its dual tRNA and mRNA-like properties. Its role is to liberate the mRNA from a stalled ribosome.
Source: RNAcentral